UACGGGGGGGGCAAGCGUUGUUCGGAAUUACUGGGCGUAAAGGGCUCGUAGGCGGCCAACUAAGUCAGACGUGAAAUCCCUCGGCUUAACCGGGGAACUGCGUCUGAUACUGGAUGGCUAGAGUUUGGGAGAGGGAUGCGGAAUUCCAGGUGUAGCGGUGAAAUGCGUAGAUAUCUGGAGGAACACCGGUGGCGAAGGCGGCAUCCUGGACCGACACUGACACUGAGGAGCGAAAGCCAGGGGAGCAAACGGG
This 253-nucleotide ribosomal RNA is filed under the name uncultured bacterium. RNAcentral's name for it is "partial 16S ribosomal RNA". It matches the Rfam family "Bacterial small subunit ribosomal RNA", at positions 524 to 776 of the family's 1533-position model. The record is from RNAcentral.